AUGUCGCUCCCAGACAUCUGAACGUGAAAGGUGCGGCCCCGGGACCCAGCCACGGCAAAGUGUGUGCAGAAACCUGCCUUUAUGCUGAACAUGGAGGCACGUUUUUUAAGAGGUCCAGGGUUCACCAACAUGUUGACUGGGUCCGCAUUCAGCCAGCAGCAGAGGGAAGGGCAGCCAUGCCCGUCAUUUGAGACAAUGCCUGGCAGUUGCCUACAUCCUUUCUGCUCAUCCCGUUGGCCUGAGCUUGGUCAUUUGGUCACAUGCAGUUGCUGGAGGGUACCCGGGACUUGCCACCUAACCUGUGGGGCCCAUGCAAAAUGAAAAUGCAGGGCCCUUGCUCAAAAAGCAGGAGUAUAAGUGCUGCUAAAUAGGGCUAAAGGUCCUAAAAUACACAGUUUUUUCCUUUCUUCUAUGAUCUUU
This is a long non-coding RNA of Eptesicus fuscus (big brown bat), 420 nucleotides long. RefSeq lists it as uncharacterized. The transcript is spliced from 3 exons. Lineage: Eukaryota; Metazoa; Chordata; Mammalia; Chiroptera; Vespertilionidae. The record is from RefSeq and is a predicted model, not a curated record.